ACCCGCUGAACUUAAGCAUAUCAAUAAGCGGAGGAAAAGAAACCAACAGGGAUUGCCCUAGUAACGGCGAGUGAAGCGGCAACAGCUCAAAUUUGAAAUCUGGCUCUUUAGGGCCCGAGUUGUAAUUUGUAGAGGAUGCUUUUGGCGCGGUGCCUUCCGAGUUCCCUGGAACGGGACGCCUUAGAGGGUGAGAGCCCCGUACGGUUGGACACCAAGCCUCUGUAAAGCUCCUUCGACGAGUCGAGUAGUUUGGGAAUGCUGCUCUAAAUGGGAGGUAAAUUUCUUCUAAAGCUAAAUAUUGGCCAGAGACCGAUAGCGCACAAGUAGAGUGAUCGAAAGAUGAAAAGCACUUUGAAAAGAGGGUUAAAUAGCACGUGAAAUUGUUGAAAGGGAAGCGUUUGCGACCAGACCUUUUCCUAGCGGAUCAUCCGGUGUUCUUCGCCGGUGCACUUCGCUAGGUCGAGGCCAGCAUCGGUUUCUGCAGGGGGAUAAAAGCCCAGGGAACGUAGCUCUUUCGGGAGUGUUAUAGCCCUCCGCAUAAUACCCUUGCGGGGACCGAGGACCGCGCUUUUUGCAAGGAUGCUGGCGUAAUGGUCGUCAACGACCCGUCUUGAAACACGGACCAAGGAGUCGAACAUUUAUGCGAGUGUUUGGGUGUUAAACCCUCACGCGUAAUGAAAGUGAACGGAGGUGAGAGCCCUUACGGGUGCAUCAUCGACCGAUCCUGAUGUCUUCGGAUGGAUUUGAGUAAGAGCAUAACUGUUCGGACCCGAAAGAUGGUGAACUAUGCGUGGAUAGGGUGAAGCCAGAGGAAACUCUGGUGGAGGCUCGCAGCGGUUCUGACGUGCAAAUCGAUCGUCAAA
RNAcentral lists this ribosomal RNA (863 nucleotides) under fungal sp. mh337.6. RNAcentral describes it as "eukaryotic LSU rRNA". It matches the Rfam family "Eukaryotic large subunit ribosomal RNA", at positions 23 to 909 of the family's 3401-position model. The record is from RNAcentral. Lineage: Eukaryota; Fungi.